This 746-nucleotide ribosomal RNA is filed under the name Ophioparma lapponica. RNAcentral describes it as "partial 12S small subunit ribosomal RNA". It matches the Rfam family "Bacterial small subunit ribosomal RNA", at positions 345 to 1191 of the family's 1533-position model. Lineage: Eukaryota; Fungi; Ascomycota; Lecanoromycetes; Umbilicariales; Ophioparmaceae. The record is from RNAcentral.
CCAGCAACUUGGAGGAAUGUAUAGCGAAAGCUAAUUGUAUUAACCAACAGUUGAUGCAAUAUCGACUAUGUCGACUAAAAUUCUAGGUAGAGUAAUGAUAAUGACAUUUUUUACCUAUAGGUCUUGACCAAAUCACGUGCCAGCAGUCGCGGUAAUACGUGGAAGACUAGUGUUAUUCAUAUUUAAUAGGUUUAAAGGGUACCUAGACGGUAUAUCUAGCCCAAAAAGGGUACUGGUAAACUAGAGUUUAAUGUGAGGGGGGGAGUACUAAUGGAGUAGAGAUGAAAUUCUGUCAUACCAAGAGGUAACAGGUAUCGGCGAAAGCAACCCUUUAUGCAAAAACUGACGUUGAGGGACGAAGGCCUCGGUCACAAACAGGAUUAGAUACCCUAGUAGUCUGGGCAGACAACGCUGAAUGCCAUAGAUUAGAUUGUAUUUCUUCUAUAAAUGAAAGUGUAAGCAUUCCACCUCAAGAGUAAUUUGGCGACAUUGAAACUGAAAUCAUUAGACCGUUUCUGAAACCAGUAGUGAAGUAUGUUGUUUAAUUUGUUGGCCCUCAAAAAACCUUACCACAAUUUGAAUAUUUUUAUAUUUCUUAUAAUUAUACAGGAGUUGCACGGCUGUCUUCAGUUAAUGUCGUGAGAAUUUGGUUAGUUCCAAAAAAUUAACGUAAACCCUUACUUUAUUUUUUUUUAUAAAGUUGUUCACCGCUAUAUUGGAUAUGAUAAAAGGGACUAAGACAAGUC